Long non-coding RNA from Nothoprocta perdicaria, 303 nucleotides. RefSeq lists it as uncharacterized. The transcript is spliced from 2 exons. Lineage: Eukaryota; Metazoa; Chordata; Aves; Tinamiformes; Tinamidae. The record is from RefSeq and is a predicted model, not a curated record.
AGCUGUAGAGCUGGGGUCUUAUGAGAAAGCAGCACUAAACAUGGAGCUCCUGGAAAGCUGGGCUCUGCUCAGCCUCAAGGCUGUGACAGCAGCUCUCCCAGUGCGCUGGUGCCAUCAGGGCUGAGGGGCUCUGUUCCGGCUAGGUUAGGCUGAGAUACUCCAAAGUGGGAGAAGCUGAACCUUGGUGUGUCGUCAUCUCUUGGCUGUAGAACGAAGGAGAUGCAGAGGAAGCUUGAUUGAGACGGUAGCUAAUGUCCCUGUGUGUAUGUUGCUUCACUCUCAUCUAAUACUAAAACCUGCAGA